RNAcentral lists this small RNA (126 nucleotides) under Marmota monax (woodchuck). Lineage: Eukaryota; Metazoa; Chordata; Mammalia; Rodentia; Sciuridae. The record is from RNAcentral.
GCUGGGCAUGGAGGCUCAUGCCUGUAAUCCCAGAGGCUCAGGAGGCAGAGGCAGGAGGAUCUCAAGUUCAAGCCAACCUCAGCAACUUAAUGAGACCCUAAGCAACUUGGCAAGACCUUGUCUCAA